UAAUCUUUGAAAUUCGAAUUUGCAAAGAAAUUCUAAAAGUAAUUUAUAUAUAUGAAAAUAAAUUGUUGUUCGUUAGUCUCGCUAAAACUCGAGAACGGCUGGACUGAUUUGGUUAAUUUUUGUCUUGAAUUUGUGGAAGUUCAGAAAAGGUUUAAAAGCUAUUUCAUUUGAUGAAAAAGGAAUGGCAAGCACUAGCAUAUUAAACAUGUCUUAGCAUUAGAGGAAUAUUACUGGCAAAAGGAUGGCUUAAUGGAGGAUGUUGUCGAAUCAUUUAUUAUUGAAGUACGUGAGGAGAGUGACAUCAAGAGGAGAGUACAUCAAAUUCUUCAACUACUGAUUAAUCUGAUUGCGAGAGUAAUUAACAAGAUUUCACGUUCAUUUUGUUCAAUAAGUAUCAGUACAUUAAAUUAAAUUCAUACGUGAUCAA
Bombyx mori (domestic silkworm) is the source of this 427-nucleotide long non-coding RNA. RefSeq lists it as uncharacterized. The record is from RefSeq and is a predicted model, not a curated record. Lineage: Eukaryota; Metazoa; Arthropoda; Insecta; Lepidoptera; Bombycidae. The transcript has 2 exons.